This 254-nucleotide ribosomal RNA is filed under the name uncultured bacterium. Its description in RNAcentral is "partial 16S ribosomal RNA". It matches the Rfam family "Bacterial small subunit ribosomal RNA", at positions 524 to 776 of the family's 1533-position model. The record is from RNAcentral.
UACGAGAGGCCCAAACGUUAUUCGGAAUCAUUGGGCUUAAAGGGCGCGUAGGCGGCGGCGUAAGUUGGAAGUGAAAUCCCAUCGGCUCAACCGUGGAAUUGCUCCCAGUACUGCGUCGCUCGAGGGGGAUAGGGGUCUGCGGAACUACCGGUGGAGCGGUGAAAUGUGUUGAUAUCGGUGGGAACGCCAGUGGCGAAAGCGGCAGACUUGACCCUUCCUGACGCUGAGGCGCGAAAGCUAGGGGAGCAAACGGG